This 55-nucleotide transfer RNA is filed under the name Oxyrrhis marina. It matches the Rfam family "tRNA", at positions 9 to 62 of the family's 71-position model. From Rfam's summary of the family: Transfer RNA (tRNA) molecules are approximately 80 nucleotides in length. The record is from RNAcentral. Lineage: Eukaryota; Dinophyceae; Oxyrrhinales; Oxyrrhinaceae.
AACUCAAUGGUAGAGUACUCGGCUUUUAACCGAAUAGUUCUGGGUUCGAGUCCCA